Non-coding RNA from Coturnix japonica (Japanese quail), 270 nucleotides. The record is from RefSeq and is a predicted model, not a curated record. NCBI's taxonomy places the organism in Eukaryota, Metazoa, Chordata, Aves, Galliformes, Phasianidae.
CCAAGCUGAGCAGGGCAGUCAAUACAUUGGAGGGAAGGGAAGACAUCCAAAGAGACCUGGACAACCUGGAGAAGUUGGCCUGUAUGAACCUAAUGAUGUUCAACAAAGCUAAGUGCAAGUUGUAGUUUCCAUGGAAAUCAAAAGGAGGCGUGACUUUCGGGGUGAUCUACAUGCAUACAAAGCACAGUGCUUUAUGUAGGCAUUUAUUAUUCAAGCUAUGGAGGAAAACAGACAAGGAAGAGGAGAAAAGGAAUAGAAAAAAGUACUGAG